This 887-nucleotide ribosomal RNA is filed under the name uncultured Streptococcus sp. Its description in RNAcentral is "bacterial SSU rRNA". It matches the Rfam family "Bacterial small subunit ribosomal RNA", at positions 30 to 885 of the family's 1533-position model. Lineage: Bacteria; Bacillati; Bacillota; Bacilli; Lactobacillales; Streptococcaceae. The record is from RNAcentral.
CGAACGCUGGCGGCGUGCUAAUACAUGCAAGUAGAACGCACAGGAUGCACCGUAGUUUACUACACCGUAUUCUGUGAGUUGCGAACGGGUGAGUAACGCGUAGGUAACCUGCCUGGUAGCGGGGGAUAACUAUUGGAAACGAUAGCUAAUACCGCAUAAGAACAUUUACUGCAUGGUAGAUGUUUAAAAGGUGCAAAAGCAUCACUACCAGAUGGACCUGCGUUGUAUUAGCUAGUUGGUGAGGUAACGGCUCACCAAGGCAACGAUACAUAGCCGACCUGAGAGGGUGAUCGGCCACACUGGGACUGAGACACGGCCCAGACUCCUACGGGAGGCAGCAGUAGGGAAUCUUCGGCAAUGGGGGGAACCCUGACCGAGCAACGCCGCGUGAGUGAAGAAGGUUUUCGGAUCGUAAAGCUCUGUUGUUAAGGAAGAACGUGUGUGAGAGUGGAAAGUUCACACAGUGACGGUACUUAACCAGAAAGGGACGGCUAACUACGUGCCAGCAGCCGCGGUAAUACGUAGGUCCCGAGCGUUGUCCGGAUUUAUUGGGCGUAAAGCGAGCGCCAGGCGGUUAGAUAAGUCUGACGUGAAAGGCAGUGGCUCAACCAUUGUAGGCUUUGGAAACUGCUUUACUUGAGUGUCAGAAGGGGAGAGUGGAAUUCCAUGUGUAGCCGGUGAAAUGCGGUAGAUUAUAAUGGAAGGAACACCCGGUGGCGAAAGCGGCUCUCUGGUCUGUAACUGACGCUGAGGCUCGAAGGCGUGGGGAGCGAACAGGAUUAGAUACCCUGGUAGUCCACGCCGUAAACGAUGAGUGCUAGGUGUUAGGUCCUUUCCGGGACUUAGUGCCGCAGCUAACGCAAUAAGCACUCCGCCUGGGAGUACGA